UCGACCCCAAGCCCCACGCCUCCCUCUCCUUCUCCAGUUCUCGUCCUCCCAUAACCUCUCUCUCCUUUCCAUCCAGCUGGACCUCCAUGGCCGCCGAAGGAGGUCGCCGUCGUGGCAUGGGGACUCUCCCAAACCGUUGGGAACUGAUGGAUCCUACACGUGCCAUCGCAGAUCUGGCUCCCUCCUCUUCCUCGCAUUGCUGGAGACCCGUUGCUUUGCGCCUCCGCCAUGUUCUCGUUUGUUGCAGUGCAN
Molecule: long non-coding RNA, 252 nt
Filed under: Hordeum vulgare
Lineage: Eukaryota; Viridiplantae; Streptophyta; Magnoliopsida; Poales; Poaceae
Description: long non-coding RNA (HVUL_LNC000673)
Source: RNAcentral